GACGAACGCUGGCGGCGUGCUUAACACAUGCGAGUCGAACGGAAAGGCCCUUCGGGGUACUCGAGUGGCGAACGGGUGAGUAACACGUGGGCGAUCUGCCCUGCACUUUGGGAUAAGCCUGGGAAACUGGGUCUAAUACCGAAUAGGACCACGCGCUUCAUGGUGUGUGGUGGAAAGCUUUUGCGGUGUGGGAUGGGCCCGCGGCCUAUCAGCUUGUUGGUGGGGUAAUGGCCUACCAAGGCGACGACGGGUAGCCGGCCUGAGAGGGUGACCGGCCACACUGGGACUGAGAUACGGCCCAGACUCCUACGGGAGGCAGCAGUGGGGAAUAUUGCACAAUGGGCGCAAGCCUGAUGCAGCGACGCCGCGUGAGGGAUGACGGCCUUCGGGUUGUAAACCUCUUUCAAUAGGGACGAAGCGCAAGUGACGGUACCUAUAGAAGAAGCACCGGCCAACUACGUG
This 462-nucleotide ribosomal RNA is filed under the name uncultured bacterium. RNAcentral's name for it is "partial 16S ribosomal RNA". It matches the Rfam family "Bacterial small subunit ribosomal RNA", at positions 28 to 507 of the family's 1533-position model. The record is from RNAcentral.